CAAGCGCCGCUUACCAUGCAAGUCGGACGAGAAAGGGGAGCAAUCCCUGAGUAAAGUGGCGUACGGGUGAGUAACACGUGGGUAAUCUACCUUCUUGUGGGGAAUAACCCUGGGAAACCGGGGCUAAUACCGCAUAAGCCCGAAAGGGGAAAGCAGCAAUGCGCAGGAAGAGGAGCCCGCGGCCGAUUAGCUAGUUGGUGGGGUAAAGGCUCACCAAGGCAAAGAUCGGUAGCCGGCCUGAGAGGGCACACGGCCACACUGGCACUGAAACACGGGCCAGACUCCUACGGGAGGCAGCAGUGGGGAAUCUUGCACAAUGGGGGAAACCCUGAUGCAGCGACGCCGCGUGAACGAUGAAGCCCUUCGGGGUGUAAAGUUCUUUCGACAGGAACGAUAAUGACGGUACCUGGAGAAGAAGCUGCGGCUAACUACGUGCCAGCAGCCGCGGUAAUACGUAGGCAGCGAGCGUUGUUCGGAGUUACUGGGCGUAAAGAGUGCGUAGGCGGUCAGCCAAGUUUGGUGUGAAAUCUCCCGGCUCAACUGGGAGGGUGCGCCGAAAACUGGUUGGCUAGAGUAUGGGAGAGGAAAGCGGAAUUCCUGGUGUAGCGGUGAAAUGCGUAGAUAUCAGGAGGAACACCUGUGGUGUAGACAGCUUUCUGGACCAUAACUGACGCUGAGGCACGAAAGCGUGGGUAGCAAACAGGAUUAGAUACCCUGGUAGUCCACGCCCUAAACGAUGCAUGCUUGGUGUGGGCCGUUCAGUCGGUCUGUGCCGGAGCUAACGCGUUAAGCAUGCCGCCUGGGGAGUACGGUCGCAAGG
RNAcentral lists this ribosomal RNA (820 nucleotides) under uncultured Acidobacteriota bacterium. Its description in RNAcentral is "bacterial SSU rRNA". It matches the Rfam family "Bacterial small subunit ribosomal RNA", at positions 40 to 893 of the family's 1533-position model. Lineage: Bacteria; Pseudomonadati; Acidobacteriota. The record is from RNAcentral.